RNAcentral lists this ribosomal RNA (253 nucleotides) under uncultured bacterium. RNAcentral's name for it is "partial 16S ribosomal RNA". It matches the Rfam family "Bacterial small subunit ribosomal RNA", at positions 524 to 776 of the family's 1533-position model. The record is from RNAcentral.
UACAGAGGUCCCGAGCGUUGUUCGGAUUCAUCGGGCGUAAAGGGUGCGUAGGCGGCUUUCUAAGUCUGAUGUGAAAUCCUGGGGCUCAACCCUGGAACUGCAUUGGAUACUGGGAGGCUAGAGUACUGGAGAGGAAACUGGAAUUUACGGUGUAGCAGUGAAAUGCGUAGAGAUCGUAAGGAAGACCAGUGGCGAAGGCGGCAUCCUGGACCGGCAUUGACGCUGAGGAGCGAAAGCCAGGGGAGCAAACGGG